This 3544-nucleotide long non-coding RNA is filed under the name Megachile rotundata (alfalfa leafcutting bee). RNAcentral's name for it is "uncharacterized LOC105661959, transcript variant X2". The record is from RNAcentral. Lineage: Eukaryota; Metazoa; Arthropoda; Insecta; Hymenoptera; Megachilidae.
AUGCUCCGUCGACGGGGGUCGAUUAGAUUUAACGUUACGCUUUUUUCCGUUAGGAUUAUCUGUAUUUGCGAACAUGGAAGGUUAAAUAAUGAAAGGUACCGAUUCAUUUACUAUCUUCGCAGAUUAUCGGAACGGACAUUUGUAAGAGAUUGAACAGUAAAACGGUUAUAUUGUUUGGAAAUAAUAUUGUUACGAAAUAAUUCCACCUUCGCAAAUUUACAGUUAUACGUGUUAAGUUAGAUUACAUCUGUUCUUGGUAACGGAGCAGGAUAAUAAAUGUGCUCGUUGCACUUUUUUUUCCCGUAUCAAUAACAAGAUUAUCGCAAUAUUUUCUAAUAAUUGUUGACAACGAGGCUCCAUCCGCCGAUCGAGAAUUGAUCCUAUUCUGAUGUAACAUCGCGAACGUUUCUCAGCAACAAAUGGGAAAAGAAUAAUUGAUCUAUCGCGUAAUCUAUACGUUCGUGUGUACGCAAUAACGUUAUCGAUCGAAAGUAAACGUAAAGUCUAGUGACGGUGCUAGUAGGUAAGAGUAGAUCGAACGGAAUACCGUACGUCUUUACGCGUCACCUACUUCGAUACGAAUCGGGUAUGAUUUGUUUAAAAAAAUUACCCAUUGUCGUAACCAUGGUAUCGCGCUGUACCAUACAUCCCUGAGUCCUACGGGGUUUAAUAUCGUGAAGGGUAGUCGAGAGGAAGGAAGAUAGGGGCGACCCUAAAGCGAGGGAGUGCUGAUGCUAAAGCUGCGAGCACGAAGGGACCUUCAAAUAAAAAAAGGUAGGACCUACCGAGCGAGCGAGCGAACCAGCGAGAGAAAACGGGAGAGAAAAUCCGGUCCCCCUUCUUUCGAGACCAGGGAAAGGCCGCACCCACUCGGUUCUUGAAGAUCAUACUGGGUCCCCGCUGGCACAGCCCUGAGCAUGUAAGUAAACACGCCAAAGUUCUGGUGCCUCGACAUGCAGCCAACAUUUUCCACGAGGUUGGAUAUCCGUGAACGAGUGGUCACUCGCGUAGACGGAACCUCGAAGACCCUCGGUUGCGAAGAACGAAAGAAGAACGCAAAUUAGGUAUAAACCUUUUGAAAUUCAACCAGAGAAAUUCGAAUACUUUCUAACACGGGAAGAGCAUCGAAGGGACGAACAAGAGCCGUGCAAGUCUGACCAUUGUUACUCCGAUCACACGAUGCUUGCACAACGUCCACGAAGUUGCGUUAUGAGGCAGCAAUAGCUUCUCCUCGUGUUUAAAGCGAAUUCGUGUCGUCUGCGUCAUAACGUUAUAUUAUAACGUUAUUUGAAUGUAAGAUAAUCAGAAUGCAUACGCUUGGCCAGCAAGUUGGUCACUCUUAGGUUAAGCCAAAGUCAACACGUGGCAACACCGCGCUACAGCUGUCAUACGCGUCAUGCAUCGAGCCAAAGCUCAACUUAUUCAAUGUACGACAGACAUACGUAUUUUAUAAGAGUUGCUACAUUCUUUUUCUGUCGAAACAACGCCGUUCGAACUUCGACGACUGUUCGAUCGUGGAGAAAAAUUAUUCCUCCGUCAAGGAACAGUGUCGUACGAUUUGGGAUACCCCGGUGUUCCCUCGUAACAUUCUCAUGCCAUCCGCUUCCCUCUCCCAAAAUCCCAGACGGGAAAGUGAGUUUCGGAACAUGAUUGUUAAUUUUACGUAACGUACAGCUUGCUUGCUAGGAACAAGUUUCCCCUCCUGCUUUUACCCAGAUCUCUAUCCAAUACCGGACUCGAAUUUUCUGGGCUUCAAUUUCCCAGAGACGCUUUGAAGGUGCAAGUAUUACUACCGAAAUCUAUUCAUUUGGAUAUAAUCUCGAUUUCGAACCAGAAUGAUUUAAAGUGCAACGAUAAAAUUCUGUCUAUAGGCCACUUGAUAUUUAUCGAUAUAUGGAAUUGUUGAUAACAUAACUCUCAAUAACAACGGCUCUAAAACGAAAGAAAGGCCGAAAAAGAAGUUGUUAAUUGUUGUUUAGGCGCGACCCAAUAUGGGUGCAGCUAUAUUAACUUUACGACAGGAGAAAGAGGGAACCGGGAGGAAAACAAAGAGAGAACGACAACGAGAGAGAGGAUGAAGGGAUAGGGUUAGUCUGUAUCAACCGUGCACCCUUAUCAAUUGGAAAAUUGGUGCGUGCAGUGGGAGCGGAAGAGGAGGAGACUCGACUAUGUUCAGCGUUGGAGGGGAGAGAGGAACGAUUAGGUUUACGCGCCUGCCAGGGACGUACGUACCGAAGGGGCCUCGUAGCUACGGUACGAUAUCGGGUUCAGUUUGUUUUAACGAUCUGCAUUGUCUAUGCACCCUCACGAAUUAGGAAUUUCAAACCGGCUACCCGAUGAGCUGGUGGCAAGAAGGGUGCUCGUACAAAAGCCAGGGGCGUAUCCAAGGAAUAGAAGGGGGCCUUUGUGUGUACGUUGAGAGAAUCAAAAGAACCAGCAAGUGAAUCAGCGAAAGAGAACGAGGGGAAUGGUGACGGACGGAAAAGAGGGAGGAAGAAGAGUGACGAGGCGCUUAGGGCGCAUGCGUCACUCGUCGUGGGCGUCGGGAAUGUGUUGACACGAGAAGCCGAGAGAACGCUGUGCCUCACUAAUGCCACGACGCCCGUGUUAUCGUCGAUACGGUUCCCGUACUGCGGGCUCGCCUUGUCCUCAGAAAAUCUGGGUCUUCGACUUCCAUCCUAACGACGAAAUCGGGGCUCUGUUGUUGACGAGGCUCCAAUCGACUCUAUCGCUACCAAUGAUUCAGAAAUUGCUGCGUACAUGAUAAACCUGAUAAAUAGACUCGUAUAACAAUUUUCAAAGUUGGCACGAGGCUAUAGGGAAUGGUGUUUCGUAGAAAUAUAUGUUGCUCUCCACGCAGUAAAUUUCUAUGAGGUUAUGUUCGGUCGAAGCUGCUACCAGAGACAACCAUAUAACUACACUGUCAUUAUUUUCAUGAUGCUUUAGAUACAAUAAAUAAAGGCGUAGUAUCAAGGCUGUAGCUACAGUAAGUGAGGCCCAGAGCAAAAGUCAAAAUGCAAAUUUUUAUAAUCUCUCAUCUGCGACGGAAAUUAAAGUUUUGAAAAGAAGACAAUAAUGUGGUAGCACGUAAAAAAUUUCAGUCACCAUUAUACUGCAACGUAUGAACUUUUAUGGACGAGAGUCUUGCACAACCACUGGUGAAAAAUUCUAUGCAUUUAUGAGUGCAGACUUUAUAGAGAGCAGUAAGAAGAACACGAUUGUUGCUUACAACUUCUGCUUAUUUGAAUAACUAAACGGCAUGCUCGAAUCUUCGCAAUUCACAAACACAUUAUUUACAUGACACUAAAACCUGACAGGUCUUGAAAGAUGUAUUAGUGUCCCAAUUAACUAGACCAAUUAUUUUAAGUAUUGGUAAAGAAUAUUUCAGUAUUUAUAUUUAAGAAAGGAAGCUGGGUUAUGGGGUUAGAAGUUACAAGGUCACCCUCAUUUCUUUAAACUACAUAUUUUUUUCAAAUCUAUAGUUUCAUCCUGUGUACAAAUAUAGUAGGAUUAUUUAGGAAAUAAAGCUUGAGUUGCAUCUGUA